Molecule: ribosomal RNA, 843 nt
Filed under: uncultured Acidobacteriota bacterium
Lineage: Bacteria; Pseudomonadati; Acidobacteriota
Description: bacterial SSU rRNA
Rfam family: Bacterial small subunit ribosomal RNA
Source: RNAcentral
CAAGUCGAACGCGAAAGUCCCGCAAGGGAUCAGUAGAGUGGCAAACGGGUGAGUAACGCGUGGGUGACCUGCCUUCGAGUGGGGGAUAACGUCCCGAAAGGGUCGCUAAUACCGCAUGACAUCCUGCCUUUGAAGAGGCGGAGAUCAAAGCCGGGGACCGCAAGGCCUGGCGCUUGAAGAGGGGCCCGCGUCCGAUUAGCUAGUUGGUGGGGUAACGGCUCACCAAGGCAACGAUCGGUAGCCGGCCUGAGAGGGCGGACGGCCACACUGGGACUGAGACACGGCCCAGACUCCUACGGGAGGCAGCAGUAGGGAAUUGUUCGCAAUGGGCGCAAGCCUGACGACGCAACGCCGCGUGGAGGAUGAAGAUCUUCGGGUCGUAAACUCCUUUCGAUUGGGACGAACUUCUCAGGGAUUAAUAAUCUCUGAGGUUGACGGUACCGAGAGAAGAAGCCCCGGCUAACUCCGUGCCAGCAGCCGCGGUAAUACGGGGGGGGCAAGCGUUGUUCGGAAUUACUGGGCGUAAAGGGCUCGUAGGCGGCCAACUAAGUCAGACGUGAAAUCCCUCGGCUUAACCGGGGAACUGCGUCUGAUACUGGAUGGCUUGAGUUUGGGAGAGGGAUGCGGAAUUCCAGGUGUAGCGGUGAAAUGCGUAGAUAUCUGGAGGAACACCGGUGGCGAAGGCGGCAUCCUGGACCAAUACUGACGCUGAGGAGCGAAAGCCAGGGGAGCAAACGGGAUUAGAUACCCCGGUAGUCCUGGCCCUAAACGAUGAAUGCUUGGUGUGGCGGGUAUCGAUCCCUGCCGUGCCGAAGCUAACGCAUUAAGCAUUCCGCCUGGGGA